Molecule: long non-coding RNA, 281 nt
Filed under: Mytilus galloprovincialis (Mediterranean mussel)
Lineage: Eukaryota; Metazoa; Mollusca; Bivalvia; Mytilida; Mytilidae
Source: RNAcentral
CUGUGCUACAUGUAUCUAUAGAGAAAUUUGUACAUGGAGAUAACGGGUACCAGUCUGCUUAUAUUUUGAAAGCCGAGUUUUGUUUCAAUUUGUUUGUUUAUUUGUACCUGUUUCGUUAUUUUAUCGUAUAUCUGUCGUAAACAUGGUAAGGAGAGGGUGAAAAUACUUUCAUACAUGUCAUAAGACAGCAACAAUUAUUGGUUUUUUUUCUGCAUCAGAUGAGACGACUUCUGUGUGCAGCAGUGUUAAUGAAAUUGGAGCCGAAAUUAAUGAAUAUGAAU